UACAGAGGUCUCGAGCGUUGUUCGGAUUCACUGGGCGUAAAGGGUGCGUAGGUGGCGUGGUAAGUCUGGUGUGAAAUCCCGGGGCUCAACCCCGGAACUGCACUGGAUACUGCCAUGCUUGAGUACUGGAGAGGAGAUUGGAAUUUACGGUGUAGCAGUGAAAUGCGUAGAUAUCGUAAGGAAGACCAGUGGCGAAGGCGAAUCUCUGGACAGUUACUGACACUGAGGCACGAAGGCCAGGGGAGCAACGGG
RNAcentral lists this ribosomal RNA (252 nucleotides) under uncultured bacterium. Its description in RNAcentral is "partial 16S ribosomal RNA". It matches the Rfam family "Bacterial small subunit ribosomal RNA", at positions 524 to 775 of the family's 1533-position model. The record is from RNAcentral.